Molecule: ribosomal RNA, 253 nt
Filed under: uncultured bacterium
Lineage: Bacteria
Description: partial 16S ribosomal RNA
Rfam family: Bacterial small subunit ribosomal RNA
Source: RNAcentral
UACGUAGGAUGCAAGCGUUGUUCGGAAUUACUGGGCGUAAAGAGUACGUAGGCGGUUUGAUAAGUCUGCUAUUAAAGACUGGAGCUUAACUCCAGGACUGUAGUGGAAACUGUCAGACUAGAGGACAAUAGAGGAAGUCGGAAUUCUCAGUGUAGCGGUGAAAUGCGUAGAUAUCUGGAGGAACACCGGUGGCGAAGGCGGCAUCCUGGACCGGCAUUGACGCUGAGGCGCGAAAGCCAGGGGAGCAAACGGG